GGAGGCGACGAGGUCCUGGUGGGCCUGCUGGACUUCAAACCCAGUCGGGGGCGCCUGGCGUCCCAGGUAGGUUCGAUUCCUACACGCCUCCGCCA
RNAcentral lists this transfer RNA (95 nucleotides) under Candidatus Sericytochromatia bacterium. Its description in RNAcentral is "tRNA-Sec". It matches the Rfam family "Selenocysteine transfer RNA". The record is from RNAcentral. Lineage: Bacteria; Bacillati; Candidatus Sericytochromatia.